Molecule: non-coding RNA, 832 nt
Organism: Triplophysa rosa
Lineage: Eukaryota; Metazoa; Chordata; Actinopteri; Cypriniformes; Nemacheilidae
Source: the annotation of a RefSeq genome assembly
CAAUCUUCAUCAACACACAAACCAACAAUGACUUUCAGCAUCAUCUUCAUCUGGACGCUCACAGUGUUUGCUCAAGAGUGUAGAGGACAGUACACUGUUACUCAGAGUCCAUCAACAACAGCAGUUCAACCAGGACAAGAUGUUCAAAUAAAGUGUAAAGUCAGCAGUGGAGUGUAUGGUGGUGAUAGAUUACACUGGUACUUACAGAAACCUGGAGAAGCUCCUAAACUCCUCAUAUAUUAUGCAACAAGCCUCUAUUCUGGAACUCCAUCUAGAUUCAGUGGCAGUGGAUCAAACACAGAUUUUACUCUGAGCAUCAGUGGAGUUCAGACUGAAGAUGCAGGAGAUUAUUACUGUCAGAGUUUACACAGUGGCAGUAGCUGGGUGUUGACACAGUGAUAAAGAGUCGUACAAAAACCUCCGUCAGUCAGACUGAACAGUGACUGCACUGACACACUUCACACAUACUGCAGCUGCUCAUACAACACAAUGACUUGAUGUAGCAACAUUCUUUCAAUUAGACUUUUUUAUUACAAUUACUAUAAUUUGUAAUUAAUUAAAAAAAAUUUUUAUUUAUUUAUUUACAUAUUUGUUUACUGAUUUAUUUUUGAUCAAUGUAAAGUCUUGUCAGUAAUUUUUCGUCUGUCUGCGUUGGUUUAUUUCUUCCUUUUUUCUCUCUUGUUACCUUCCAUUUAAAACACUCAUAAACAGGGACGUGCACAGACAUUUUGAGGGGCAUGGGCUCAAGUGGAAAAAAGGGCACUUCUCAUAUUUGUUUUAAUUUUUUCCAAACAAAAUGUUAAAUAUAUUAAAAUAACUAUUUUUUGAAAUC